Molecule: ribosomal RNA, 253 nt
Filed under: uncultured bacterium
Lineage: Bacteria
Description: partial 16S ribosomal RNA
Rfam family: Bacterial small subunit ribosomal RNA
Source: RNAcentral
UACGGAGGGGGCUAGCGUUGUUCGGAAUUACUGGGCGUAAAGCGCGCGUAGGCGGACCUGCAAGUCGGGGGUGAAAGCCCGAGGCUCAACCUCGGAACUGCCUUCGAUACUGCGGGUCUCGAGUCCGGGAGAGGUGAGUGGAAUUCCUAGUGUAGAGGUGAAAUUCGUAGAUAUUCGCAAGAACACCAGUGGCGAAGGCGGCUCACUGGCCCGAUACUGACGCUGAGGUGCGAAAGCGUGGGGAGCAAACAGG